AUCUUAUCAAGAGCGGUGGAGGGACUGGCCCGACGAAACCCGGCAACUCUAGUAAAUACUAGAAAGUGCUAAAUCCUGCAGGUGAAAAACCUGGAAGAUAAGAG
Molecule: non-coding RNA, 104 nt
Filed under: Bacillus sp. (in: firmicutes)
Lineage: Bacteria; Bacillati; Bacillota; Bacilli; Caryophanales; Bacillaceae
Description: Bacillus sp. SAM-I sequence
Rfam family: SAM riboswitch aptamer (S box leader)
About the family: The SAM riboswitch is found upstream of a number of genes which code for proteins involved in methionine or cysteine biosynthesis in Gram-positive bacteria. The SAM riboswitch acts at the level of transcription termination control. The predicted structure consists of a complex stem-loop region followed by a single stem loop terminator region.
Source: RNAcentral